GGGAAGGUGGCUCAGUGGCAGAGUGCUUGCCUUGCAUGCAUGAGGCCCGAGUUUCAAUUCCUCAGCAUCACA
Molecule: transfer RNA, 72 nt
Filed under: Dipodomys ordii (Ord's kangaroo rat)
Lineage: Eukaryota; Metazoa; Chordata; Mammalia; Rodentia; Heteromyidae
Rfam family: tRNA
About the family: Transfer RNA (tRNA) molecules are approximately 80 nucleotides in length. Their secondary structure includes four short double-helical elements and three loops (D, anti-codon, and T loops). Further hydrogen bonds mediate the characteristic L-shaped molecular structure. tRNAs have two regions of fundamental functional importance: the anti-codon, which is responsible for specific mRNA codon recognition, and the 3' end, to which the tRNAs corresponding amino acid is attached (by aminoacyl-tRNA synthetases). tRNAs cope with the degeneracy of the genetic code in two manners: having more than one tRNA (with a specific anti-codon) for a particular amino acid; and 'wobble' base-pairing, i.e. permitting non-standard base-pairing at the 3rd anti-codon position.
Source: Rfam by way of RNAcentral